Molecule: ribosomal RNA, 270 nt
Filed under: uncultured archaeon
Lineage: Archaea
Description: partial 16S ribosomal RNA
Rfam family: Archaeal small subunit ribosomal RNA
Source: RNAcentral
CAGCACCUCAAGUGGUCAGGAUGAUUAUUGGGCCUAAAGCAUCCGUAGCCGGCGCUGUAAGUUUUCGGUUAAAUCUGUACGCUCAACGUACAGGCUGCCGGGAAUACUGCAGCGCUAGGGAGUGGGAGAGGUAGACGGUACUCGGUAGGAAGGGGUAAAAUCCUUUGAUCUAUUGAUGACCACCUGUGACGAAGGCGGUCUACCAGAACACGUCCGACGGUGAGGGAUGAAAGCUGGGGGAGCAAACCGGAUUAGAGACCCGAGUAGUCC